CGAGCGCUUGCGAAGGGCUGAUAACGCCUGGAGGAAUCCCCGGUUGGCCUCCGGAGCCAAAGGCCGCAGGUUCGAAUCCUGCAUCGCGCGC
RNAcentral lists this transfer RNA (91 nucleotides) under Archangium violaceum. RNAcentral's name for it is "tRNA-Arg". The record is from RNAcentral. Lineage: Bacteria; Pseudomonadati; Myxococcota; Myxococcia; Myxococcales; Archangiaceae.